RNAcentral lists this ribosomal RNA (253 nucleotides) under uncultured bacterium. RNAcentral's name for it is "partial 16S ribosomal RNA". It matches the Rfam family "Bacterial small subunit ribosomal RNA", at positions 524 to 776 of the family's 1533-position model. The record is from RNAcentral.
UACGUAGGGGGCAAGCGUUAUCCGGAUUUACUGGGUGUAAAGGGAGCGUAGACGGCUUGGCAAGCCAGAUGUGAAAGGCUGGGGCUCAACUCCGGGACUGCAUUUGGAACUGUCAUGCUAGAGUGUCGGAGAGGCAGGCGGAAUUCCUAGUGUAGCGGUGAAAUGCGUAGAUAUUAGGAGGAACACCAGUGGCGAAGGCGGCCUGCUGGACGAUGACUGACGUUGAGGCUCGAAAGCGUGGGGAGCAAACAGG